AGAGUUUGAUCCUGGCUCAGGAUGAACGCUGGCGGCGUGCUUAACACAUGCAAGUCGAACGGUGAAGCCAAGCUUGCUUGGUGGAUCAGUGGCGAACGGGUGAGUAACACGUGAGCAACCUGCCCUGAACUCUGGGAUAAGCGCUGGAAACGGCGUCUAAUACUGGAUAUGAGCUGCGGAGGCAUCUUCGUGGUUGGAAAGAUUUUUCGGUUUGGGAUGGGCUCGCGGCCCAUCAGCUUGUUGGUGAGGUAAUGGCUCACCAAGGCGUCGACGGGUAGCCGGCCUGAGAGGGUGACCGGCCACACUGGGACUGAGACACGGCCCAGACUCCUACGGGAGGCAGCAGUGGGGAAUAUUGCACAAUGGGCGGAAGCCUGAUGCAGCAACGCCGCGUGAGGGAUGACGGCCUUCGGGUUGUAAACCUCUUUUAGCAGGGAAGAAGCGAAAGUGACGGUACCUGCAGAAAAAGCGCCGGCUAACUACGUGCCAGCAGCCGCGGUAAUACGUAGGGCGCAAGCGUUAUCCGGAAUUAUUGGGCGUAAAGAGCUCGUAGGCGGUUUGUCGCGUCUGCUGUGAAAACCCGAGGCUCAACCUCGGGCCUGCAGUGGGUACGGGCAGACUAGAGUGCGGUAGGGGAGAUUGGAAUUCCUGGUGUAGCGGUGGAAUGCGCAGAUAUCAGGAGGAACACCGAUGGCGAAGGCAGAUCUCUGGGCCGUAACUGACGCUGAGGAGCGAAAGGGUGGGGAGCAAACAGGCUUAGAUACCCUGGUAGUCCACCCCGUAAACGUUGGGAACUAGUUGUGGGGUCCAUUCCACGGAUUCCGUGACGCAGCUAACGCAUUAAGUUCCCCGCCUGGGGAGUACGGCCGCAAGGCUAAAACUCAAAGGAAUUGACGGGGACCCGCACAAGCGGCGGAGCAUGCGGAUUAAUUCGAUGCAACGCGAAGAACCUUACCAAGGCUUGACAUACACGAGAACGCUGCAGAAAUGUAGAACUCUUUGGACACUCGUGAACAGGUGGUGCAUGGUUGUCGUCAGCUCGUGUCGUGAGAUGUUGGGUUAAGUCCCGCAACGAGCGCAACCCUCGUUCUAUGUUGCCAGCACGUAAUGGUGGGAACUCAUGGGAUACUGCCGGGGUCAACUCGGAGGAAGGUGGGGAUGACGUCAAAUCAUCAUGCCCCUUAUGUCUUGGGCUUCACGCAUGCUACAAUGGCCGGUACAAAGGGCUGCAAUACCGCGAGGUGGAGCGAAUCCCAAAAAGCCGGUCCCAGUUCGGAUUGAGGUCUGCAACUCGACCUCAUGAAGUCGGAGUCGCUAGUAAUCGCAGAUCAGCAACGCUGCGGUG
Molecule: ribosomal RNA, 1345 nt
Filed under: Staphylococcus hominis subsp. hominis
Lineage: Bacteria; Bacillati; Bacillota; Bacilli; Caryophanales; Staphylococcaceae
Description: bacterial SSU rRNA
Rfam family: Bacterial small subunit ribosomal RNA
Source: RNAcentral